RNAcentral lists this ribosomal RNA (286 nucleotides) under uncultured bacterium. RNAcentral's name for it is "partial 16S ribosomal RNA". It matches the Rfam family "Bacterial small subunit ribosomal RNA", at positions 338 to 623 of the family's 1533-position model. The record is from RNAcentral.
CCUACGGGACGCAGCAGUGGGGAAUAUUGCACAAUGGGCGCAAGCCUGAUGCAGCGACGCCGCGUGCGGGAUGGAGGCCUUCGGGUUGUAAACCGCUUUUGUUCAAGGGCAAGGCACGGUCUUUGGCCGUGUUGAGUGGAUUGUUCGAAUAAGCUCCGGCUAACUAUGUGCCAGCAGCCGCGGUAAUACAUAGGGAGCGAGCGUUAUCCGGAUUUAUUGGGUGUAAAGGGUGCGUAGACGGGAAUACAAGUUGGUUGUGAAAUCCAUCGGCUCAACCGAGGAACUG